This 499-nucleotide ribosomal RNA is filed under the name uncultured bacterium. Its description in RNAcentral is "partial 16S ribosomal RNA". It matches the Rfam family "Bacterial small subunit ribosomal RNA", at positions 28 to 507 of the family's 1533-position model. The record is from RNAcentral.
GACGAACGCUGGUGGCGUGCCUAAUACAUGCAAGUCGAGCGAAGUUUUUCUGGUGCUUGCACUAGAAAAACUUAGCGGCGAACGGGUGAGUAACACGUAAAGAACCUGCCUCAUAGACUGGGACAACUAUUGGAAACGAUAGCUAAUACCGGAUAACAGCAUUAACUGCAUGGUUGAUGUUUAAAAGUUGGUUUUGCUAACACUAUGAGAUGGCUUUGCGGUGCAUUAGCUAGUUGGUGGGGUAAAGGCCUACCAAGGCGACGAUGCAUAGCCGACCUGAGAGGGUGAUCGGCCACACUGGGACUGAGACACGGCCCAGACUCCUACGGGAGGCAGCAGUAGGGAAUCUUCCGCAAUGGGCGAAAGCCUGACGGAGCAACGCCGCGUGAGUGAAGAAGGAUUUCGGUUCGUAAAGCUCUGUUGUUAGGGAAGAAUGAUUGUGUAGUAACUAUACACAGUAGAGACGGUACCUAACCAGAAAGCCACGGCUAACUACGUG